CAAAACCAAGUCUUUGCCAAAAUAAAAGCAGAAGAGUGUUGUAUAAGUUUCCCUUUUGACGACUUUAUUUUUUUGACCAUGGUCCUCGAUGCUUCUCUUCCCGAUAACCCUUGCAUACUCUCGAACUACGAAUCUCACUCAACCAAUGACCAAUGGCUCACUUUCGGACAUCGAACCUUGCCUAAACGCCGACCACGGCUUACGUAUGGACUCCGACCCGAGCCCCAAUGUUAACCCCAGCCCGAUUUUGGAUAAUGCAACCAGCAAUUCCUCAAUCUCAUGAGGAACCUAUGAUAUGUAUCAAUUGUAUAGCUGACAUGAUGCAGAGGAGGCGACAUAGCCUAGAGCUUAUUAAGUUCAGUUGGUUAUAAUGUCAGUGGAUGACUCCUCAGCUGAUUGAUAACAGCAGUGUAUGUUGUCACUCAUGUUGGACUGUGGCCACGGUGUGGCUCUGCACCAAUCAAGGACAAAUAAUAUUUCAAAUGAAGAAGCAACCACUAGCACUGGUCACAGUUAACGUGGAUUAUCUUUGUUACAAAUAUGUUCCAUAGACUGCAUAUUAACACGGAAAGAGAAUCACAUAUUCGAAAAUAAUGUAAUAAUGGAACAGAUUUCACCUCGUCAACUGCGGGGAUCUGACCAAAUAUGUCAUCCCUGAUGGCAGUGAGCUGAUCGAGCCCCAACAAACACAUGAUAGGACGAGGAUUCAUUUGCCCUGAUAUUGGCCGAAUAACAGUAGGUUGCUGUGCUCAUGUUAUGACAAUUUUGUGGUUUUUGAGCUGGGCAAGGUAUCAGGAACAUGUAUUUCCACCUGCCUAGUUCCUAGACAAUAUUUUAU
This is a long non-coding RNA of Ostrinia furnacalis (Asian corn borer), 838 nucleotides long. RefSeq lists it as uncharacterized. The transcript is spliced from 3 exons. The record is from RefSeq and is a predicted model, not a curated record. Lineage: Eukaryota; Metazoa; Arthropoda; Insecta; Lepidoptera; Crambidae.